Molecule: RNA transcript, 1143 nt
Organism: Cryptomeria japonica (Japanese cedar)
Lineage: Eukaryota; Viridiplantae; Streptophyta; Pinopsida; Cupressales; Cupressaceae
Exons: 4
Source: RefSeq, a predicted model, not a curated record
UGGAUUGUCUUUGUAUUGGUCCCUCAUUUAUUUAACUUUUUCUGUUUUGGUACUUUUUUCUGUCCAUAUUAUCUCAUAAAGAUCUGGGUUAUAGAAUGUAGAUUCUGUCGGAUAUGUUUGUGGGAGUUUUGACUGAUGGAUUUUUAGUUGUCUGGAAAUGAUUAGAUGUUAUGAGGAAAAACUAUGGCAAGUGGUUGGGAAGGAAGACUAAUAAGAAUGGAUAUCAAUACUGGGUGUCUUUUAUGGUCGGGGCAGUGGAUUAAUCAUGAAAUUUUGUUAGAUACCGAUUUUGGCCACACCGAUAUAGAUGCAAUGUGAAACGUCUAGUUGAAUUAUCUCAAGAAUUGUGAUGUAAUGGUGAUGAGAAAAAACACGGGUUGUUUAUUUGAGGUCACUGCCAAGCUAAAUGUUGAAUUAACAUAUGACACAAUCCUUGUUGAUUUAUUCAAGGGAAAUUGUUUCCAACUGAUACAAUAUAUUGACCAAAUUUUGUACCCUUGGGUUUUGUCUCUCAUUAUCAAUACCAAAGUAAACUGUAGUGAUCCAGGUUCAGAUUCCCUUCCUUCAAUGAGGUUCUGAAGAGAGACAAUUGUUUAAGUGAUGCGCAGACAGGCAGUGCCAAGGUCUGAAUCGCUGCUCACAAGAGCAGUGAACAAGGUCUUCGGAUUUGUUCGCUUUGCAGAAUUUGAAAUACUUUUUGUGCUCUUCCUGCUGAUUGCGUUCCUUAUUUUCAAAGACCUCACCUCUAGGCCUGAGUACAAUAGAAUUCUUCUGAAGGAUGGAUGGAACUAGUCUUUUUCUAUUCUAAGAGAUGAUUCUAGAGGUUUUUGGUCAGAUCUUCUAUCUAUUAUUUACAAUAUCAGGAGCAAAACUAAUUAAGUUAUGAGGCACAAGGGUUAUGCCUACCUAUGUUGUGAUUUUGUGGGCGGUUUGUAAUUUAAUAGAAUCCAAAUGUUUCGGAGUAAUGUUAUGGUUAAAACAAGCUUAAGAAAUUCUUAUUAAUCAAGAUUGUAUUAAAUUUAGAUUUUUCAUGCUAUCUAGUAGAGCUGGUACGUGGGAUGGGGAGGUGUAGUAUUGAGUGAAUUGUGAUCUGAUGUAUUCUUGUUAUUAAGAUAAGAAAUAAGCAGUAAUAUUAUCAAUCAA